RNAcentral lists this ribosomal RNA (450 nucleotides) under uncultured bacterium. RNAcentral describes it as "bacterial SSU rRNA". It matches the Rfam family "Bacterial small subunit ribosomal RNA", at positions 355 to 825 of the family's 1533-position model. The record is from RNAcentral.
UGGGGAAUUUUGGACAAUGGGGGAAACCCUGAUGCAGCGACGCCGCGUGAGUGAUGAAGGCCUUCGGGUCGUAAAGCUCUGUCGUAUGGGACUAACAAAAUGAAGGUACCAUGCAAGAAAGGAUCGGCUAACUUCGUGCCAGCAGCCGCGGUAAGACGAGGGAUCCUAGCGUUGUUCGGAAUUAUUGGGCGUAAAGCGGGUGUAGGCGGACUUAUAAGUCAGGUGUGAAAUCCCAGGGCUCAACCCUGGAAGUGCACUUGAUACUGCAAGUCUUGAGUGUGGUAGAGGCUAUUAGAAUUCCUGGUGUAGUGGUGAAAUACGUAGAUAUCAGGAGGAAUACCGGAGGCGAAGGCGGAUAGCUGGGCCAACACUGACGCUGAGACCCGAAAGCGUGGGGAUCAAACAGGAUUAGAUACCCGUGUAGUCCCUGAGCGGGCUGGCAAGGCGCAU